RNAcentral lists this ribosomal RNA (402 nucleotides) under bacterium. RNAcentral describes it as "partial 16S ribosomal RNA". It matches the Rfam family "Bacterial small subunit ribosomal RNA", at positions 355 to 776 of the family's 1533-position model. The record is from RNAcentral.
UGGGGAAUUUUGCACAAUGGGGGAAACCCUGAUGCAGCGACGCCGCGUGAUUUAGAAGGCCUUCGGGUUGUAAAAAUCUUUUCUAUGGGAAGAAAAUGACAGUACCAUAGGAAUAAGGACCGGCUAAUUACGUGCCAGCAGCCGCGGUAAUACGUAAGGUCCGAGCGUUGUCCGGAAUCAUUGGGCGUAAAGGGUACGUAGGCGGGUAAGAAAGUUAGAAGUGAAAUCCUAUAGCUCAGCUAUAGUAAGCUUUUAAAACUGCUCAUCUUGAGGUAUGGAAGGGAAAGUGUAAUUCCUAGUGGAGCGUUGAAAUGCGCAGAUAUUCGGAGGAAUACCGGUGGCGAAGGAGACUUUCUGGCCAUAAACUAACGCUGAGGUACGAAAGCGUGGGUAGCAAACAGG